UACAGAGGUCUCAAGCGUUGUUCGGAUUCAUUGGGCGUAAAGGGUGCGUAGGCGGCGCGGUAAGUCGGGUGUGAAAUUUCGAGGCUUAACUUCGAAACUGCAUUCGAUACUGCCGUGCUUGAGGACUGGAGAGGAGAGUGGAAUUCCCAGUGUAGAGGUGAAAUUCGUAGAUAUUGGGAAGAACACCGGUGGCGAAGGCGGCUCUCUGGACCGAGACUGACGCUGAGGCGCGAAAGCGUGGGGAGCGAACAGG
This 253-nucleotide ribosomal RNA is filed under the name uncultured bacterium. RNAcentral's name for it is "partial 16S ribosomal RNA". It matches the Rfam family "Bacterial small subunit ribosomal RNA", at positions 524 to 776 of the family's 1533-position model. The record is from RNAcentral.